Myotis myotis is the source of this 336-nucleotide non-coding RNA. The record is from the annotation of a RefSeq genome assembly. NCBI's taxonomy places the organism in Eukaryota, Metazoa, Chordata, Mammalia, Chiroptera, Vespertilionidae.
AUGAGGCAGGUGACAAGAGUGACCGUGCUCUUGACCUUGGGUACUUUGAGCCUUGCUAAGACCACCCAGCCCAUCUUCAUGCUUUCAGAUGAAGGACAGGAAGUGAACAUACCCUGUAACCACACCAACAUUGCUACAAAUGAGUAUAUCUUCUGGUACCAACAGUUCUACAACCAGGGGCCACAAUUUGUUAUUCAAGGAUAUAAGACAGACACGGCAAAUGAAGUGGCAUCUCUGUUUAUCGCUGCCGACAGGAAGUCUAGUGUGCUGAGGCUGCCCUGGGCUUCCCUGAAAGACACUGCUGUGUACUACUGCAUUGUGAGUGAUGCACAGUGA